CCUACGGGCGGCAGCAGUGGGGAAUAUUGGACAAUGGGGGGAACCCUGAUCCAGCGACGCCGCGUGAGUGAAGAAGUAUUUCGGUAUGUAAAGCUCUAUCAGCAGGGAAGAAAGAAAUGACGGUACCUGACUAAGAAGCCCCGGCUAACUACGUGCCAGCAGCCGCGGUAAUACGUAGGGGGCAAGCGUUAUCCGGAUUUACUGGGUGUAAAGGGAGCGUAGACGGUUACGCAAGUCUGGAGUGAAAGGCGGGGGCUCAACCCCCGGACUGCUUUGGAAACUGUAUAACUGGAGUGCAGGAGAGGUAAGUGGAAUGCCUAGUGUAGCGGUGAAAUGCGUAGAUAUUAGGAGGAACACCAGUGGCGAAGGCGGCUUACUGGACUGUAACUGACGUUGAGGCUCGAAAGCGUGGGGAGCAAACAGGAUUAGAUACCCGGGUAGUC
This 443-nucleotide ribosomal RNA is filed under the name uncultured bacterium. Its description in RNAcentral is "partial 16S ribosomal RNA". It matches the Rfam family "Bacterial small subunit ribosomal RNA", at positions 338 to 795 of the family's 1533-position model. The record is from RNAcentral.